Molecule: ribosomal RNA, 465 nt
Filed under: uncultured bacterium
Lineage: Bacteria
Description: partial 16S ribosomal RNA
Rfam family: Bacterial small subunit ribosomal RNA
Source: RNAcentral
CCUACGGGAGGCAGCAGUAGGGAAUCUUCCACAAUGGGCGAAAGCCUGAUGGAGCAACGCCGCGUGGGUGAAGAAGGUCUUCGGAUCGUAAAACCCUGUUGUUAGAGAAGAAAGUGCGUGAGAGUAACUGUUCACGUUUCGACGGUAUCUAACCAGAAAGCCACGGCUAACUACGUGCCAGCAGCCGCGGUAAUACGUAGGUGGCAAGCGUUAUCCGGAUUUAUUGGGCGUAAAGGGAACGCAGGCGGCCUUGUAAGUCUGAUGUGAAAGCUUUCGGCUUAACCGGAGUAGUGCAUUGGAAACUGGGAGACUUGAGUGCAGAAGAGGGGAGUGGAACUCCAUGUGUAGCGGUGAAAUGCGUAGAUAUAUGGAAGAACACCAGUGGCGAAAGCGGCUCUCUGGUCUGUAACUGACGCUGAGGUUCGAAAGCGUGGGUAGCAAACAGGAUUAGAUACCCCAGUAGUC